This is a long non-coding RNA of Olea europaea var. sylvestris, 688 nucleotides long. RefSeq lists it as uncharacterized. The transcript is spliced from 3 exons. Lineage: Eukaryota; Viridiplantae; Streptophyta; Magnoliopsida; Lamiales; Oleaceae. The record is from RefSeq and is a predicted model, not a curated record.
AACAUCUUCAAAAGUUGAAAAUGACACGAGGAUUUUCUACUUUCUGCAACUUCAAUAGUCAAAGACCUUAUUGAAGAAGAAGGAAAUGCAUAUGAUUUUCCAAAUGGGAUUCUCUUUGGAGCGUCCACUACUUCAUAUCAAGUUUGUGUUUCUUCUUCAAUAAUUGUACAAGAAGACAUUGAGAUACUAAAUUCUGUUGGGCAAAAAGGGGGGAAAGUCCGAUAAAGCUCACCAAGCAGGAAUCUUAUUCUAUAACCAAUAAUCUCCUACUCAAAGGAAUAGAGCCAUUUGUGAUAAUUUACCACUUCGACUACACUCAUAUUAGAGGAUGGUUGAACAUUAGGAGAUCAAUGACAACGAUUGCAAGUUCAUUGAAGUGGAUCAAAAAGGAAGCACAGGGGAUGGCUGGGCAAAGCAAAACCAAGAAAAUUGCAAUGAUUUGCAUCGUUAAUCAUAUCUGGAUACUAGGAACAUGAAGAUUUUUGAAGAUCUAAAGCCUCAUUCCGAUUGCAUCAUGAGGCGGAUCAAAACACAUAUAUUCAAAGUCAUGUUUUUAUUGUAUCCUCGUAUUUUGAUUCAUUUUGAGUCUUUAGUAUUGAAUAUUUAGAUCUUAUUGUUUGUAUAUCUUUUGAUCUUGUAAGCCUGGGUAUACUCGGAGUAUUUGUAUAUAAGUUUUGAUUAGUACAAA